AGGCUUAACACAUGCAAGUCGAGGGGUAGCAGGGAGCUUGCUCCGCUGACGACCGGCGAACGGGUGCGUAACGCGUAUAGAAUCUACCUCUUACUAAGGGAUAGCCCAGAGAAAUUUGGAUUAAUAUCUUAUAGUAUACAGACCUGGCAUCAGGAUUGUAUUAAAGGUUACGGUAAGAGAUGACUAUGCGUCCUAUUAGCUAGAUGGUGUGGUAACGGCACACCAUGGCUACGAUAGGUAGGGGCCCUGAGAGGGGGAUCCCCCACACUGGUACUGAGACACGGACCAGACUCCUACGGGAGGCAGCAGUGAGGAAUAUUGGACAAUGGAGGCAACUCUGAUCCAGCCAUGCCGCGUGCAGGAAGACUGCCCUAUGGGUUGUAAACUGCUUUUAUACAGGAAGAAACACUCUCACGUGUGAGAGCUUGACGGUACUGUAAGAAUAAGGAUCGGCUAACUCCGUGCCAGCAGCCGCGGUAAUACGGAGGAUCCAAGCGUUAUCCGGAAUCAUUGGGUUUAAAGGGUCCGUAGGUGGAUGAUUAAGUCAGAGGUGAAAUCCUGCAGCUCAACUGUAGAAUUGCCUUUGAUACUGGUUGUCUUGAGUUAUUAUGAAGUAGUUAGAAUAUGUAGUGUAGCGGUGAAAUGCAUAGAUAUUACAUAGAAUACCAAUUGCGAAGGCAGAUUACUAAUAAUAUACUGACACUGAUGGACGAAAGCGUGGGGAGCGAACAGGAUUAGAUACCCUGGUAGUCCACGCCGUAAACGAUGGUCACUAGCUGUUCGGACUUCGGUUUGAGUGGCUAAGCGAAAGUGAUAAGUGACCCACCUGGGGAGUAC
Molecule: ribosomal RNA, 837 nt
Filed under: Flavobacteriaceae bacterium ACEMC 15-6
Lineage: Bacteria; Pseudomonadati; Bacteroidota; Flavobacteriia; Flavobacteriales; Flavobacteriaceae
Description: bacterial SSU rRNA
Rfam family: Bacterial small subunit ribosomal RNA
Source: RNAcentral